Molecule: ribosomal RNA, 450 nt
Filed under: uncultured bacterium
Lineage: Bacteria
Description: partial 16S ribosomal RNA
Rfam family: Bacterial small subunit ribosomal RNA
Source: RNAcentral
GUGGGGAAUAUUGGACAAUGGGGGCAACCCUGAUCCAGCCAUGCCGCGUGCGGGAAGAAGGCCUUCGGGUUGUAAACCGCUUUUGUCAGGGAAGAAAUCCUUUGGGUUAAUACCUCGGAGGGAUGACGGUACCUGAAGAAUAAGCACCGGCUAACUACGUGCCAGCAGCCGCGGUAAUACGUAGGGUGCGAGCGUUAAUCGGAAUUACUGGGCGUAAAGCGUGCGCAGGCGGUUUUGUAAGAUCGAUGUGAAAUCCCCGGGCUCAACCUGGGAACUGCAUUGGGGACUGCAAGGCUGGAGUGCGGCAGAGGGGGAUGGAAUUCCGCGUGUAGCAGUGAAAUGCGUAGAUAUGCGGAGGAACACCGAUGGCGAAGGCAAUCCCCUGGGCCUGCACUGACGCUCAUGCACGAAAGCGUGGGGAGCAAACAGGAUUAGAAACCCCUGUAGUCC